GAGACGGGACGAGAUUUAGGGUUUGAUGUGUUUCUGAUUUUUGUGCAAGUUGCCAUGGCUGUUGAAGGUGCAUAGUGAAGGUGGAUGAUGGUUUUACAAUUCAAAACGAAGACGGUGCGAUGUUCGCGCAUGGAGGUUGAUGGCGUGGUGGCUAUGGAGGUUUGAUUGCUCGAGAACAUGAACCUAUGGUGGCACUAAUGGCGGCAAGGUGGUCCUGUGGUGGCACUUUGCACAAAUCCUAACCCUUUCCUUUUACCCAAUCACUUCAACUUUUAACAUUUCCACAUACAUUGCUAAGUCAAUUGACCUCAGCGUGUCACGCAAUCAACAACUUGACAACUC
Molecule: long non-coding RNA, 342 nt
Filed under: Vigna radiata
Lineage: Eukaryota; Viridiplantae; Streptophyta; Magnoliopsida; Fabales; Fabaceae
Description: long non-coding RNA (VRAD_LNC006975)
Source: RNAcentral